UACGUAGGGUGCAAGCGUUAAUCGGAAUUACUGGGCGUAAAGCGUGCGCAGGCGGUUUUGUAAGUCUGACGUGAAAUCCCCGGGCUCAACCUGGGAAUUGCGUUGGAGACUGCAAGGCUAGAAUCUGGCAGAGGGGGGUAGAAUUCCACGUGUAGCAGUGAAAUGCGUGGAUAUGUGGAGGAACACCGAUGGCGAAGGCAGCCCCCUGGGUCAAGAUUGACGCUCAUGCACGAAAGCGUGGGGAGCAAACAGG
Molecule: ribosomal RNA, 253 nt
Filed under: uncultured bacterium
Lineage: Bacteria
Description: partial 16S ribosomal RNA
Rfam family: Bacterial small subunit ribosomal RNA
Source: RNAcentral